UACGUAGGGGGCAAGCGUUGUCCGGAAUCAUUGGGCGUAAAGAGCGUGUAGGCGGCCCGAUAAGUCCGCUGUGAAAGUCCAGGGCUCAACCCUGGAAUGCCAGUGGAAACUGUCGGGCUGGAGUCCGGAAGAGGCGAGUGGAAUUCCUGGUGUAGCGGUGAAAUGCGCAGAUAUCAGGAGGAACACCAAUGGCGAAGGCAGCUCGCUGGGACGGUACUGACGCUGAGACGCGAAAGCUAGGGGAGCAAACGGG
RNAcentral lists this ribosomal RNA (253 nucleotides) under uncultured bacterium. Its description in RNAcentral is "partial 16S ribosomal RNA". It matches the Rfam family "Bacterial small subunit ribosomal RNA", at positions 524 to 776 of the family's 1533-position model. The record is from RNAcentral.